GGAGGUAAAAGCAGUAUUAGGAUAUAUAUAACCAAAUCCCCUAAAUCCAACAUCAACAAUUAGUGUACUUGUUUCAACAGAUGCUCUGUGAUAUGUAAUGUACAUCCACCGGAUGCCAUGUGGUGUCUCACUGUUCAAAGCUUAUGCAAUAUCCGAACAUUCUGAUCUCACCUCAACACGCUCCUGGUCUUUGAGGUCGUAAAUGCCUCCAGAAGUCUGAACAUCCACCUAUCGAGCAUUCCUGUCACAGCAAAU
Molecule: unclassified non-coding RNA, 255 nt
Filed under: Hevea brasiliensis (rubber tree)
Lineage: Eukaryota; Viridiplantae; Streptophyta; Magnoliopsida; Malpighiales; Euphorbiaceae
Source: RNAcentral